GCUGAAAGGGCUUGCUGUCAGGGGUCCAGGAACUCCUCUGCCUAGAAAGAAGAGCUAGCAGUGACCAACUGGGAGGGGGACAAGAGCGUGUGGCUGGAUUGGAAGUGGCCACGAAGGUCACAUCUGGCCUGGUGUCCUUACCUCCUGACACAGGGUUCUGAGUAUCACCUGUGAUCCCUGACAGCAUCCACGAGGCAGGCAAGAGAAAGAGUGCUUUGUGAAGGCCCUGAAGCAGAAUACAAACACAGAAGUGGAACUUCACGAAGAAGCUUGAUCCCAGGGCCACUGGAGUCUGAGGACCAGUGGGUGGAGAGCCACGAUAAUCCAGGAUGAACACUGAAUUCACCAUCAUUAAAUCACAACAUGAGAAGACAAUGUUGGAUAUGGAAAAAAUGACGCAGUCAAUAAGUGAUACCAUUGAGAAGUACAAGGAAUUCAUAGAAGAUAAGGAUUCCUACAGCUUCACGCACACCUACCUCCUGAAAGAAUGCAAUCAAUUGAAGGAAAAAGUAAGGAUGUUGCUGAAUGAGAACAGAAAGCUGCUGGUAGAGCAGGCUGACCAGGAAACAUCCUAUGGUGAAGAAAUGAGGUUCUGUGAUGCGACCAGCAAGAACAUACAUCCCAAAUCCUAAGCAGUAGCAGGUGUGAAAUACUCCAGUAGAAACUGGAACAUGGAACAGACCAGCACAAGGUCUCCUUUGAAAAUAAAUUCUAUAGGAGGAUCUCUGCGUGUGCAAAGCAAAUACUUCAUCUCAUCCCUAGUAAUCAUGGCUAUCAUCUGCUGCAUUUUCUUCCUUUACUUUUGUUUCCUUGCAAUGAAUAGCCCUUAAUUUCAUCUGGGCUCUGGCUCAGCAAGAGUGAGCAUGUAGAGGGAUUCAGACAUGUGCUGAGACACACCAAGAGCCGCUGGGAAAACAGGAAGAUUCUGAGAGUGUAAAUUUUUCUUGUCCUGAUAGGUCAUCAAGGAAAAUUAGAAAAUGAUUCUACAAAAUCACAAAGACUUUGAGCUAAAUUCUGUAACAUGUUUUCUGCUUAGUCUUGGGUGUCCAUAUUCUUCAAAACCAUACUCCAAAAAAGGAGACCUACUUACAUUCCUCUUGUAAAGAUUGUUACCAGAAGUAACUUAUUUUCUACUGUGUUGCCAAGGACAGCCAUGGGCUGUAAGUUUGUGCUGCUAAAUGACAGCCAAAGAAGGCUCUUUAGCACAAUUCUUGUUUUUAGAUUUUGGUUUGAGCUUUGAUUACUUUUGUUCUUUGGUUUUCUUUAGUUUCAUUAGAAGUUUUUUUCCUUGUUUGUUUCUUUGGUGUUGUUUGGUUUUGUAAUUGAUUUAAUAUUUUGAUAAGACUAUACACUGUACAUAUUGACUGCCCACUUUUAGUUACUAUUGAGUAAAUUGGAUGUAUUCUUGUGAAUAAAACGGUGAUCUCUAACUCUUCACUCUUAAGAAACUUCUUUAUUCAGGUGUGGUAUCACCCUAUUGAAAUCCCACACCUAUCAGACAAAGAUGGAUCUCUGUAAGGGGCUUGGGUUCCAUAAUGACUUCCCAGCCAGACUGAGCUACAAAAGUAAUAGAUUGUACAUUCAGUGUGUCUAGUGUGUCCAACUCUGUGGAUUCCAACUUCACGAUGGAAAAAUUAUCCAUGCUGUAUACUUGCAUGUCAAAUAUUUAGUUGCUGCUAAAAUACUGUGAAUGACAGUGUUGAACAAAUUAAUGGGAAAUAUAUCAGUAUUUCUGAAAUGUCUUUCAGGAAAUAAAAACAUAUUCUAAAAGAA
Mus musculus (house mouse) is the source of this 1773-nucleotide long non-coding RNA. RefSeq annotates it as predicted gene 9732. The transcript has 4 exons. The record is from RefSeq and is marked validated. NCBI's taxonomy places the organism in Eukaryota, Metazoa, Chordata, Mammalia, Rodentia, Muridae.